RNAcentral lists this ribosomal RNA (253 nucleotides) under uncultured bacterium. Its description in RNAcentral is "partial 16S ribosomal RNA". It matches the Rfam family "Bacterial small subunit ribosomal RNA", at positions 524 to 776 of the family's 1533-position model. The record is from RNAcentral.
UACGAAGGUCCCAAGCGUUAUCCGGAUUUAUUGGGUUUAAAGGGUGCGUAGGCGGGUUAUUAAGUCAGUGGUGAAAGCUCCCAGCUCAACUGGGAAACUGCCAUUGAUACUGAUAGUCUUGAGUAUGAUUGAAGUGGGCGGAAUGUGUCAUGUAGCGGUGAAAUGCUUAGAUAUGACACAGAACACCGAUUGCGAAGGCAGCUCACUACACGAUCAUUGACACUGAGGCACGAAAGCGUGGGGAGCAAACAGG